Non-coding RNA from Labrus bergylta (ballan wrasse), 547 nucleotides. Lineage: Eukaryota; Metazoa; Chordata; Actinopteri; Labriformes; Labridae. The record is from RefSeq and is a predicted model, not a curated record.
GAUAAAGACACAACAUCCAGUGAAGCCCCAACAGAACCUGCAGUUACUGCUGCAAACAGUUCGGAGAAAGACAAUGAGGAUGAAAGCUUCGACUCUGAUGAAGGAGGAAAGAAAAACUUCAGGGCUAAAUCUCAGAUUCCAGCCCACAAUCCAAGCCCUGCCCACAAUCCAAGCUCUGCCUUCCCUCAUCAGCCAAUUAUUCCUCAGCCUAAAUCUGCUGUGAGGAACCGAACGUCCAAGAGGCGAUCCAGGACCAACCGCCGCCAGAUCUAACACACAUACACACACACACACAUCUAAACACACACACACACACACACACACACACACAUUUGUGGUAUGCUUUGUGGUCUGAUUGGUCAUCUGCAGGCGUGACAUGUGUCCAGGAGCCUUUUUGAAUUAAACUCUAAAAGUUUGACGUGUUUGAAAUCAGAUGAAAUUGUUAUCAAUCAUUGAUACCAAUAUUCAAUCGAUAUAUGAAUGACUUCAUCCUCCUGGACUCCUGCAAACAGAUUUCUAUCAGCUCAGUUUUUUUUUUCCAAGUUCA